GAUUGCCUCAGCACAGGCCCCAGGACUCUGUCAUAUGCUUUGAUGUAUGACCAUGAACUCCUGGAUGGAUGCUUGGCUAUGUUUCUCUAGGUUCAAAAGAAAGAGGAGUGAAGAGGAGUAAAACACACAUCUAUUAAAAAGCAAGAAGAUUAAAUAAAUUGAAGCUUUUUAUUUCUCUUUCUCUGCCUAAGGUGUGUCUGUGAGGGUGUUGCCAAAGGAGAUUAACAUUUGAGUCAGUGGACUGGGAGAGGCAGACCCAUCCUCAGUCUGCACCAUCUAAUCAGCUGCCAGCAUGGCUAGAAUAAAAGCAUGCAGAAGAAAGUGGAAGGGCUUGACAUGCUGAGUCUUCUGGCCUUCAUCUUUCUCCUGUACUGGAUGCUUCCUGCCCUUGAACGUCGAACUCCAAGUUCUUCAGCUUUUGGACACUUGGACUCACACCAGUGGUUUGCCAGGGGCUCUGAGGUCUUCAGCCACAGACUGAAGGCUGCACUGUCGGCUUCCAUACUUUUGAGGUUUUGGAACUCGGACUGGCUUCCUUGCUUCUCAGCUUGCAGAUGGCCUAUUGUGGGACUUCACCUUGUGAUCGUGACCCAGUGGCUGUCUUGAUGUCUCACAGCAGGAAGAGACUCUCUCAAAUAGGUGUACACAUGGGGAGAGAGAGAGCAAGGAGACUGAGAUACAAUCAGCCACCAGCAAGUUGUCUUGAUUUUCUGAAUGGAGCGUGGUAGCAUGUUAUAGAGUCCAAGGAAUUUGCCAAAUCCGUGUGAGAAGAUUUGCCUCUCACAUGUGAGAGAAUUUUUUGAGAAAAAAAAGAUCCUGACCCCGUCCCUCUGCCACCACCCGAGUGAGGAAGACUGACAGAGCACAUUGGCUUGCUGUGGAGACAAGAUCAGGGAAAGCGCCCCUGAAAAGAAAGCAUUUUGGAAGUCCUGAAGGUGGAGAAGGAGAUUUAGAGGAAGAGUGAUAAAUCAGAAGUCUUCGUCCAAGAAUUAGCUUUGCACCAUCUACAGACCUAAGCAGCUGCAGUUCUGGAGGCUGGGAAGUCCAAGAUCAAGGCAUUGACAGGUUCACCUUGUGGUGA
This 1081-nucleotide long non-coding RNA is filed under the name Homo sapiens (human). RNAcentral describes it as "HSALNT0310110". Lineage: Eukaryota; Metazoa; Chordata; Mammalia; Primates; Hominidae. The record is from RNAcentral.